GGCUCCGCCUUCCGGGGGCGCGCGCACGCUCCGGCCGAGCAGCCCCCGCGGCUCCUGGGGCGGCGGCGGCGGCCCGCGCUCAGCGGCCGGGCGGCACCUGCGCAGGGCCCGGCCCGGCCCGGUGAGGCCCUGCCCCGAGCUGCCAACCCCGCACCGGGCACCUGGGCAGCUACGACCGGCCUCAGCGGCGCCGUAAGAGGUGCUGGAAGCGGAGUCAGCGAAGGCGCAGGAACUCCGACCCUCCCGCCCGUAACGUAAAUGCGAUACGCGCUCUGAGGGGUUGUUGUUGCAGUCGUCACGUACAUAAACAGGCAGAAGUUAAUCUAAAAUAUCCCCAGGAAUCACUGUGUCUACACGCUGCGUCGUGCCAGCUGAUUGUGGUGACUAAGAUAAGCCUUUUUGUCUGCUGGCUGCCCACAUAACCAGCUCGGUGAAGAGGGAGGUUUGCCAGCUGGAUUCUGCCCGCAGCCCUGCGCUGCGUGGUUCGUGGCGGUAGCUGCCGUGGCGAGGCGCAGGGUUGCUACUGGCGUUCGGGAGCGAAGGUGCAAGCUGGUGAUUUCAGGCCAAAGUAUAACUUUAGGUGGGAGGGGGUGGCAUAGUGUGGUUUCAGGCAGUAGUUUUAUUUUCAUAAUUAAAAUAGGUAUCAUUUGGCAAGGCAUGCUAUAUCCUGAUAAAUGGGCCUAGAAGGAUGUAGUUUGAUAUGAGAACUCUCAUUUUCUGUUAUGUUACAUAACUACUUGAUCUCUGAAUCAGGAACAAUCUCUCAGCAUCCCUUCUCCUGUUCAAACUGCACUCAGCUAGUAUUUAUCUGCUUGCUGUAGCCGGCUAACAGGUCCCAGCAUCAGCUCACCACUGCUUAUGGUGAUCUCGAAACAUAGAAGAAAAGUACAGCUCUCAACUGAGUUCAGCUGCCCUGCACCGACGUAUCUGCGGCUGAGAACGGCGGUGCAGAUUCAAAAAGGAAGCGUUCCAGCUCUUGACGAAGUGAAAUUAUUUACUUAUUCUUACAUCUUCUUUAACAAGUGGCUAUGAGCACAUUUGUUUUUGGAGUUCACUGUCAGAGGAUAAUUGCAGCUAAGUUCUAAUGUUUGCUUUGGACAGAGAAAUCUGUGGGCUCCACUUGCUUUUUGGGAUGCAUUCUGGGCUCCUCCCAUCCUCCCAUGAAAUGAGCAUAACUAAACAGUGAGAAACUGCCCCGCUGGGGCUUCUGAUUUGUUUUGCUGUAGUUGGCUACAGUCUUGAAAGCCUUUUUCUAGGGGAGUCAUGAUAUAUUAUAUCAGAUAUUAUCACUGCACUCCAUCUUGUGGAAGAGGCGAUGAUACAGACUUUGAAAUGAUCCUAUAGAGCUGUUUUGAGUAAUUAAACCCAACAAUACUUGGUUCUUACAGCCAAAGCAAGGAACUACAAAGAGCAGUGGAUGCAAAAAGGAUCUAGGAGAAAUGAUUUGCCGUCAACAUGUAAUUAAGUUCCUAGAUAUUCUUAAAACAUCUCUUCAGAGCUGAUUAUUUCUUUGACAUCUUUUUAUAUCUUUAUUGUUCAAGAUGAUACUAUUGCUAGCUGCUGAGGACAUGGACAUUCUCACAGCACUCUGCAUAUUGUAGAAUCAGCUGGCACAUGCACUUUGUGUGCGCUGUUUAAUUAAAAAAAAAGAAGACUAACAACUUUUCAAACCAUGUGGAUAGUGGAAUUUCAUCCCUGACAAAGAACCUAAAUCUUGGGCACUGGGCACUUUAAUCCUCAGUCGACCUAGCUGUACCCAAUGGAUUCGUGUACAUGUCGCUUGGAUUUAGGUAGGCACUUCACAUCUCCUUCUUCUUUGUUUUGGGAAGGAGUUUUAGGAAACUGUUCAAAAAGUGCAGUCUGAAUAGAGGAACUAAGAAGCAGAAAGGAACUUGUUUCUCAGGUGAGCUUGCCAAGGAGCGCCAGAGGUUGGGAGAGUCAGUGGGCUGAAAAGGCCUACCAAAAACAACAGCCACCUGCAGCAGUGACAGUGGUCUGGGGGUGUAUGAGGCAGAGGGACAGGCUCCACUAAGUGGGAUUGAUCUGUAGGCCACUGCCUGUUUUUUACCCUCAUAAUAAGUAAAUAAUAAUCUGAUUGUAUAUCAUAUCCAGGAGAUGAUAUUGAGGGUUGCCAUCUGUUUUACGAAAAACGAACAAACAAAAAAGAAGUGUUCUUCGCUCUUCCCAUACUGCCUUUUGACCUUUUCUCCCUUGAUGUUCAGCACUGCUUUGGGAAAUCGGACUUGGUAUUGAGGCAACAACUGUGAACUAUAGCAGGGGGUUUAUUUGUACGUAUUUGUACCUGGCUGGGUGCACAAAAAAAUGAGGAACUUAUCUGGAUUCCCAAUUAUAGAACGGUUAACCUUGUAAUAGUUGCCCUAGGACAAGCUUGAAGCCAUUGAAAUGGCUUGAAAGCCAUGUAACUUUAAUGGAUAGCUGAAAAUACAAAGAGGGAUAGUUACUCCAAACGUUCCUUGAGUGGAAUAAAAAAGAUUUUCUUGAGAGAGGACUGCAGAAUAGCUUAGUCAUACAGGCCCAAAAAAUAGGGUUCUGUGUGGGAAGAAGUUAGGAGAAAAUUCUGUUGUACAAAUGAGAAUUCUCUGAAUUACCUCCCCCAGAAGCAAGUUCCAGAAAGAGGCUAAAUUUCAUUAGCAAAAGUGAACUGUAUUUUUUUUACAAAACUUUUUCCUCUCUUGCACUAGCAGUAAUAUAAAGGCCUCUCUCCAUGAUGCAGUGUGGAACAGCAAUGAUAAACUGAGCGCUGGCAUUUUUUUGUUUCUUUUUGCAGGGAGAGGCUUAGACAACGCAGUGGUCAGUUUGCUGAUUGCCAGUUCACUUUACUGCUCCAAACUUUGCUAACUCUGUACUGGCAGUGAACUCGAAACAUUCUAGAGAAGAGGAAAAGAAGCUUCUUGUUCCCUCAGAUGAAUCUCUGAAACACGUGGCCAGCGUGAUACCAGCAGAUCACUAGCAGUGAUCUUGGUUUGAAGUUUUGGAGGUGCAGAGCACCCAUCAUUCUCGACAGAGUGUGGCUGCCCUGCACUCCAAAAUCCACAGCUGAGAAGGGCAGUGCAGAUCCAAAGGGGAAGCAUUCCUUCUCACUGGCUGCUUUGAAAGGUCUUGACCAAGUGAUUCUCUUGGAGACUGCUCCGCAAACUGAAGGACCCAGAGGAACCCUGUGUUUUCUGUAUUGAAGAUGACUUUGAUCACUUAAAGGCAUUUCAAUUACUUUGUGGGUCAAUCCCCACAAACAUUUUGUCUGUGAUUUUAAAUAACUUGUGUGAGCUCCAAUUGAAAAGCAAGGCACAUCUGUGGAUACAUGAUGACACUGUGAUUGGACACCUACUAAGCUACUGCUGAAUGCAGUAUUCUGCCCUUGCCUCUGAGUGCCCACUUCAGCCUCAUAGCUUGUGCCAGUGCUAACACCCAUGCUGUCUCACCAUGAGUUGGAUCUAUCUGAUAGUUAAUCAUUGAGGCAGCAAGGGGGGGAAACAAAGAAAGAGGAAGCAGGUUAGUUUUCCACUGAGAGAGAUUACUGGCUAUCUCCCUACUCUGGGCAAAACAGGAGGGAUUGGGCAUGCAUGCUCUGGGCUGGAUGAAGGGCAAGACCAUGUCCUUGCAGGAGCAGCUUAUGCUUAGAUUGUAAGUGUAGCAAUUGCAUGCAAGCAGUUGUAUCUAAUAUUUGCUGUUACAGCAGGAAUAACAAGUUAGGGGGGUUAAAUCCCUUACAUUCCUAGCUGUACGUUCACACACCUCAGCCAAAGCAUUCGUUCAGGCACACAGCACCCUGGCUCAAGGAGCUGGUCUUCCAGGAAAAUCGUCUCUCUUUGCAGUUCAUUGCCUGCCAGCUUAGCUCCCUGAGCUAUUUCAUUGUUCAGUGGUCCAAGUGUCAAUCACAAGGGAGAAGCUGGACCACAGAAGUCCCAAAUCAAAUUGCUAUGGAAUUGCACCCUUUAAGAGAUUCCCCAGAAACCAGCGACCAGCCUUACAGUCAGAUUGACUGCUGACUGCCGCUGCCCAGGACAGAGAAAGUGGUGAUUACUACACAUUUCCUUCUUCAUCCCCAUCCCACCCCUCACUCGCUCCUCUCCACCACCCAGCCCCAGCAAUGUUGGACCUAGCAGUGGUGGACUGCUGGAUGAAUGGCACAGCUAGCUGGUCUAGCAGAAAGUUUUUUCCUCACCCCCAAGGAAAGACUUUUCUACUGGAUUAACCAGCUGAAUCAAAACACACCCUACACCCACAUCAUCACUAGGUCUAUGUAACACAAAAGAAGUUGGAGGGGAGAAUAAGGAGCAGAGGAGGACUGUUCCUUUCCACUGUUAAAUGGCUUAGCCUUAAAAUGAAAUGACACUCCGAUUCUGCCUUGUCUUGCAGUGUGUAAAGUGAAUGCAAAGUGGGUGUAAAAUGCUGCCAUUUAGGCUUUCACAGGUAUUGAGGCAAUGAUUGAAUGGAUCAUUUUUCCAGAGCAGCACUGGCUGAAACCAUCCUGGUCCUGCUCCAGCUUUGCUGCUGAGUGUAGGUGUUUGUGAUGCUGUGUACAGAACUGAACUCCAGGGGACUGACCCACUCAAAAAUAUUUUAAAUUUUGACAAAUUAUUCUCUAGCUGGACCAGCUUCCCAACACAGGUAACUCUCUGCUACAGCAUUUGUGAGCUGUGGGAACUGCUUACAACAACGUAAAUGGUGCUGCUGUCAAACAUGUAACCACAGUCUGACUGUACGUGUUUCAGUGAGUCUUGGACUCUUACAUUUCUUUGCAGCAGAAUAAAUCUAAAGAGGCAAUCUGAUAUCGUAGCAAGGUUGUUAGCAAGUGGAAAAUGGUGGCUGGUGGUAUGUCAAAGGCAUGAUGGAAAUGAUUCUCAGAACUAUCACCUUCUUGUAUUUGCGUGGUACCAAUAAUUCUGCAUUCCAUAACUGGAGAAAAUAAACAGAAGAUAGCAAUGGAAGUACAGGAUUCCCUUGACACUGCAAUCUUACGGUAGAGCACAAUGAGUUAAUACGUAUGUGGCAAAAGGAUUUCAUAGAUUUAGAAAAUAAUAUUAGAAUAUAUUUUCCAUGUGAAAUGGCACAGAGGAGGGAAGAGAGACCAUUUCAAGUCAGGACAAUACACUACCUUGAAUAUGACAUCAAUAUAUAGUAUCCUCAUUUCAUUCCAAACUUCCAUCUUUAGCUUCAGUGCGGCACUGAUCAACUUACUUCCCUUUAUUACUUCAGUGAAAGCCAGUUCAAAGAAAGUUUAAUUUCUCAGCAGGUGUCCUCAGCUGCAGUAGAGGAGUACAUAGGUACUGGUAUUUUUGUGAAAAUUUCCAGCUGUAAAUAUCACAUAACCUUUAAAUACUGCACUAUAUCAAGUAGGAAAAUCAUUAAAAUUACUCAGAAGAAUGUAACAGUUUGCACAAAUCAGAAAUGUAAGAACAGGAUGUUCAUAUGAGAAGUUGAAAUAAUUUUGUGAUUACAUGCAGCAAAGGCACCUUUCGUUUUUGAUGUGACUGGUGUAGUAUUAUAAAAUCUAAUCCUGUGCAUCAUGUUAACAAUUUGGUCAUUUAUUCGCCAGAAAAUUUUAUUUUUAACAAAGGCUAUAAAUCAAGAUGGACAACAUAGAUGUAAUACAUUAAAAAAAUCUAAAUUCUUGUUAUGUAGAGUCAAAGGCAAUACUCCAUGUACCCAUUGUUAGGAAGAAAUGACCUUUAUAAUAAAAUGGAGUGACAAACACUUCACCGUAUCCUCAAAUUAAAUAAAAAGAACAGCUAAAAACUCACUUAUCAUUGAAAGAGAGCGUUGGAGUAAGAAAGACAAACAGUUUACCACUGGGAAACAUCUGUGUUGGAACCCCUUGCUAUAAAUUGUGAAGUAACUGGCAAAGAAGGAUCAUGAAAUAGUAAAUUUAAAACAAGGUUUUGUGUUCAAUGGAUUUAAUAAGAAUGUAAAAAUCUUACUAUGGUAUUUUACAUAAUUUGUCUCUUAAAAAAGAUACUAUCCUACUUAGGAAUGGGGAACGAUACCUGGGAAAUUACACCAACCCCCUUUUUUUUUAUUCCUUUUAGGUUGCCUUUGUCCUAAAUAUGCCUUACUUUUUUAGAGUAGCACUAGUAGUUUAAUAGUGACUUUCACCCAUGGAAGCUUUUACAGCUUAUACUCCUCAGGCAGAAAGAAGAUGUCUGAGAAUAUAUAUGAACAUAGUAAACAUCCUAGUGGGGGGGAGCAAUGGUCCUUCCAGCCCAGCAUUCUUUCAGCAACAGUGGCAAAAGACCUUGGAGCACAUCAAGUACUUUGAGUGUACAUCAAAUGAGCCAGCCUGUGGUCUCUCUUCCAGCUCCUCCAGAACCUCUUACUGAAGUUCUGGAUGCACUUUUCCCUUCACCUAUUUAUUUAUACCCUCCCUAUCCAAGGCCUUUCCAAGUUGCAAGAGUUACUUGUCAACCUCUUCCAGUCCCUGUCCAAGUUGGUUAUUCAUGUCACCAGGAGCAGGAAGCUUGAUGGGGGGACCCUAGUGGUUUUGUCCCUAGUGGGACAGGUUUUGAUUUUGCUGUCUUCCCACAUCUCCAGACAGAGCACCACUGGGCAGCGUCCAGCAGCUCCUUGGUUACAUUCAGGUAGUGGUGGGUGAUGUCAGGUUUUCUCUGCUUGGUGUUCUCCUCCAGUUGCCUAUUACUCUUCCCUUUAUUUCAUUUGUUGUCUGUCAUAAAUGGUUCUUCCUCCUUAUUUUCCUUUAGCCCUUUCCCUCCCUGGAAGAGCUUCAAGGUUUUGCUGAUAUGUACCUAGACAGAAAAGACUAGGAACAGCAGCAGUAGGAGAAACUAUUUAUGGAGGGCACACAAGCUUGGCCAUGUUCUGCAGGCCUUUUUCCGUUUACUCCCAGCUUCCAUGGUUUUUAGGAAGGUAAAUCUUUGCCUAGUCCUUUUAGUAUCCAUUUUUGGACCGGUUGUACGUGAACUUGUCUAAUUCCAUUUUGAACCUGCUGUUGGUAUCUGCAUCCACAACCUCCUUUGACAGCGAGUCCAGAAAUUCACUAGCUACUGUGUAAAAUAAUGCUUGCUUUUUUUUCAGUUUUAAACUAAUUUCACCAAGUGAACCUAGCCAUGAAAGUCAAUGAAAAAGUUCCAUACUUUUCACCCACCUGAAUGAUUUUGUAAACCUUGAACACAUCCACCUCAGCUCUCUCCUUUCCCAGGUGAAGAGUCUUAUCCUUUUAAUCUGAUGCAGCUGCUCCAUCCCUUUAAUCUUUUCAGUGGUCUUCUCUAUGUCUUCCCUAACUCUACCAUGUCUUUUCUCAGAUGCCAAGACCAGAACUGUAGACAACAUUCAGCGUGUGGGUAUACUAGAGUUGUAUGCAGUGGCAAAAUGAUGCCGUCUCACUACCCUUUUUGAUGAUGCCCAGCACCUUUCUUUUUCCUAAGUUGUAUCUGGUGGUUAGAUCUGGUAGUGCUGUGUGACAACCUGAGUGCUUCAGAGAAAGCCAAGUAAUUUAGCCAGCUGAAUGGUGUUAAUUUUUAGAGGUGAUAUUAACCUGUACAGGAGCUUCCUCUUAAUCCCGUGUAAGAGUAUUUUUGCAAUUUGUCCCAAUGAAUUGUGUCUCAAUGUUCCAAAUGAACAGCUCUAUUUUGAGUGAAGUGGAAUUCUUAUUUAGAUAAGUUCAAAUAAACUAUCUUUGAUACGGGGUAGAGGAGGUAAAAAUGGAGUAGAUGCAGAUCGUAGGAAUGAAGACAACAGAGAGAAGGUAAAUUAGGGUUACCUUUGCAGCAGCACUGGAGUCCACUCUUUCCUUGUGGCUGGUAUUCUCCACUCAGAGUAAUACAGAAGGAGGGGAAUGGUGCUCCUAAAACAUCAUUGUCAUCUUCACAGAUUUUUAAUUCUUUUUUUAAUUUCAUCUCUAACUUCUUUAGAUGCAUGCAUGCCAUUAGUGAGCAGUUGAUUUGUUUUUUUUUUUUUUUGUUGUAGUUAUCAGAGGCUUCACAAGAGCAUUGAGACAAAUGAGAGUGUGCUUUUUGUGCCUGUAUGUGUGCACACACCCCUUGUAUGUUGCAUCUCCUGACUUGAAGACCUUGCAGUAGAGCUUGAACAAACAGAUGCAGGCUGGAGAAAUAAAUAUUCCCUACUCAUUUUACCUAGGCAGGAGCUAGGUAGGAGCAAAGGGAGGAUAAAAUGGCUUUCAGGAGAUGAGACAGGAAGUCUGUAGAAGAAGUGAAAGAUUAGCCUAGACCUUUGAAUCUUCUGUCACCAAGCCACCUUUCGUCUUUAUCUGUGAACAAGCAUAUGGGAUUGCCAAAUAUUUAAAAAGCUCUUUCACUUU
Molecule: long non-coding RNA, 8293 nt
Organism: Dromaius novaehollandiae (emu)
Lineage: Eukaryota; Metazoa; Chordata; Aves; Casuariiformes; Dromaiidae
Exons: 4
Source: RefSeq, a predicted model, not a curated record